RNAcentral lists this non-coding RNA (102 nucleotides) under Paenibacillaceae bacterium GAS479. RNAcentral describes it as "Glycine riboswitch aptamer". It matches the Rfam family "Glycine riboswitch aptamer". From Rfam's summary of the family: This family represents the bacterial glycine riboswitch. Glycine riboswitches usually consist of two metabolite-binding aptamers domains with similar structures in tandem. Lineage: Bacteria; Bacillati; Bacillota; Bacilli; Caryophanales; Paenibacillaceae. RNAcentral also lists the same sequence under 1 other name. The record is from Rfam by way of RNAcentral.
AUGAACGCAGCGGGAGAGACUGCCGGUUAUUAAGGCGGCGCCGAAGGAGUAACCUUGAUGGGCUCAAGGGAAUCUCUCAGGCAAAAGGACCUUUGCGGGACG